GUGUCUAUAGUUCAGCGGUAGAGCGCCAGAUUGUGGAUCUGGUUGUCGUGGGUUCGAUCCCCACUAGACACC
This 72-nucleotide transfer RNA is filed under the name Treponema sp. RNAcentral describes it as "tRNA-His". It matches the Rfam family "tRNA". Rfam says of the family: Transfer RNA (tRNA) molecules are approximately 80 nucleotides in length. The record is from RNAcentral. Lineage: Bacteria; Pseudomonadati; Spirochaetota; Spirochaetia; Treponematales; Treponemataceae.